Molecule: long non-coding RNA, 2815 nt
Organism: Dermacentor andersoni
Lineage: Eukaryota; Metazoa; Arthropoda; Arachnida; Ixodida; Ixodidae
Source: RefSeq, a predicted model, not a curated record
CAAAUUUUGAGGGCCCCAUGUUGGCAGACAUGUAAAUGUCCGCAAAUAAGCUGAAGAGAUCUUCCGGAAAGGUAUAGGCGAUGUGUGCCACAGGCCUCCAGUAGGUGCCGGGAUGCAUGCGCCCUUGGGCACGGCGCAUCAAGGCACCCUAGCCUCCAGGAUUAGUAGUGGUGGCGGUCACUCCAAAAUUUCGCCUUAACCGAAGAACAUGUCUGGAGUGGGACCCGUUAUGAGGCAAUUCCAGAGAAGAUGAUGCCACAAAAGAGGCCUGCCCCAACCAGUGACAGUAGAGGCUAGAGCACCAACAGUGACGACGAGAGUGAUCACUUUGGUAUAACUCCAAUGGCCACUGAAAGUAUGUUGCCACACAGACUGGAGAGUAUUUUCUAGGACACGCUGUCUAAAGGACUGCUGUAAGUGUACACAAACAUGCAAGAAAUAGAUUAAAUGUGCACAGGUUAUAUAUAUAUAUUAUUUAUUUAUUUAUACAUGCUGGAGCCUCAAUGAGGCUAUUGCAGGAUUGGGAUGAACAACAAACAUACGACAUUUAUGAACAAGCUUGCGUGAAUUGUUUCAGUGGUAGUGAACAUACGUUGCCCGGUAAUGAAUUCCAGACUUCAAUUGCUGAUGGAAAAAAACUGUGCUUAAAAGAAUCAGUGCGGGCAAAAAAGGUUGAGAUAUUUAGAGCAUGGCGACUCCUCGUACAUGAGGGUUUGGAAAAAGUAGUUAUCUAGAGAGGUGAGGAGAACUGAAUAACGUGUGAAGGAAUUUUAGGCUUUCAAGUUUGCGAUGCUCUAGGAGUGAGACCAAGUAGGGGAAGAGAGUUAGAUGGCCAAAAUUCCGUCAUAUCUCCUACAAACAAAAUGCACUGCCCUUUUUUGCACUGAUUCUAGUUUUUUUGACGUCACAGUGUUUGUAUGGGUUCCAUACAACGCAGCCAUAUUCGAGGAUGGGGCGAAUAAGGGUUUUAUAUGUAAGAAGUUUAGUUUCUUGAGGAGCAAGACGCAGCAUAGGAUGUAAGUAACCUAGUCUUUUAAGGGCUUUGUUACAGAUGACAGACAUCAAUGUGUUUUGACCAUGACAAAUCAUGUGUUAGUAGGAUACCUGAAUAUUUGAAUUCGAAGACCCUAUUUAAUGUAAUAUUGUUAAAGGCAUAGGCAAAGAAGGAAGGGCAUGAGCGUCAUAUAAAGGACAUGGAGGCAGUUUUGGAAAGGCUGAUAUUCAUUUGCCAUGCUUUGGACCAGUUACAGAAGUCAGCAAAAUAAUUUUUAAGGACAACAUGAUCAGUAGGAGAUUUAACUGUAUGAUAUAAAACGCAAUCAUGAGCAAAAAGACGUAUUUUAACUGAGGUGUGUAGGGGGAGAUCAAUAAUAUAAAGCAGAAAUAAAAGAGGACCCAGUACUCAGCCUUGGGGAACCCCUGAUGAAACAGGCAUCAAGGGUGAGUUAGUAGAGUUGAAAAAUACAUAUUGCGAACGCUGGGAAAGAAAGUCCGAUAUCCAGCCAACCAAAGAUGCAUUUUUUUAGUAUAGCGAACAGCUUGUGCAUAAGUUUAGGGUGUGAGACAGUGUCGAAGGCCUUUGAAAAGUCUAUAAAAACAGCAUCAAUCUGGUCACCUAUGUCUAAAGAGCUGCUGAUGUCAUGAAUGAAUUCUGUCAGUUGUGUUAUAGUGCUAAGGCUACGUCUAAAACCAUGCUGGAAAAUGCAUAAAAUUUUGUUAGUUGCAAGAAAUUCCAUAUGUUUAAAGAUAAUGUGUUCGAGUAAUUUACAUGAGUGUGAUGUUAAGGAGAUUGGCCUAUACAUGUAGUUAGAUGGCAAUUGAACGUUACCCGACUUAAAUAACGGCAAAAUUGAAGCAAGUUUCCACGAGGGAGGAACGGUGGCGGUUGAGAGAGAUUUUCUAAAGAUAAUUGUUACAUAUCUGCUGCACCAAAGAGAGUAUCGAAUGAGAAAAACAGUUUGGAUACCAUUGGGACCAAAUGACUUCUUGGUGUCUAAGUUUAGGAUUAAGUUAAGUACACCCUCAGUAGACAGUUAUAUAUCGUCAAUUGUAGGGUAUGGUUCGGAGUCAAGAACAGGGGUUACAGAAUUACCGGUCAUAAAUACAGAGUGGAAGUAGGUGUUAAAAGAAGAAGCUAUUGUCUGCGAAUCAAACUGCAACAUUAAUAAUAUGUCCGAGGAUGACCCAGGUGGUAGGAUAGCUUUCCAAAAUUUUCGGGGAUUAACCAGCAUUAAUUUCGGAAAGGUUACCUUGUAAUAAAAUUAUUUUGCAGCAACCAUUUUAGAACAGAGUUCCUUUUUAGCGCUAGGGAAUUGCAUGAGUUUUGUUGAGUCACCAGAGCUUUUCGAUGAAUGUAAUCUGGCUACACGACGUGAUAAAUGCAAAAGGUCCCUAGUCAUCCAAGGAAUUUCAGUGUUUGUUUUCUUUGUUUUUAACCCAUUCAGGGUCAAUUUUUUUUGCCAUAUGUGACCACCCAGGGUCGAUUUCUUUAUUGCAAAUUCCAAUUCUUCUUAGGGACCUAUUUUGAAAAAAAUUUACCGUAAUUUUUCUAGGGUGACCGUAAAGUGAGAAAAAGAUAUUUUGCGUUGGUAUAUAUGUACUCUUUAUUCAUGAAUAACAAUAAAGAAAGGAAAUAAACUUAUAAGAAUUAAAAAUUUGAUGCAUUGUUAUAGUUCAAGGCUUAGAAUAUGUGCACACGACAAUAUUUCACAAGUCUCAAAUGUUCCUGCUCUUACAGUCAUAUUUACGUCCAUAGCCUAAUCGAACUGCGUAGGUGAGCAGACCAAAAAAACUGUGUGGCUGUGUGCCCCCCCCC